AAAGAAAAAGAAAGAGAAAGAAAGAGAUGCACUAGAGGACAUUAGGAAAGGUAGAUUUGGGGAUGACAAUAAAACAAAAUUCACUGCAACAAUGUAAUAUCCUGGAAAACAUAAAUACGGUGUUGGUAGAACUGAAGAAGGAAGGGUUCAAGAGAGGGUGAGACAACUUGUCAGAAAAAAGGAAACUGGAAAUGAGCCAAUGGCAGUAUCCUGUCACCUAAACGGCAGUGAAAUCUCAGCUUUUCGUAAGACAGAGGGUGACCGUGUCCUGGAUCCACGUCCUUGGUCACUGGGGUCACACAUGUAAGCUGGGCCGUCUUGUUUAUUAGUGGUUUGCUUAGCCUGGGACCAGCCUCCCAAUUUAUCCUUAGAAUGGAGCUGCAGCAGUUCCCAGGGCCUCAGCAGGCCGAUGACCAAGCUGCAGAGAAACUCUGCCUGGAGACAUGCGUUGGAGCGGGCGGGGUAGAAGAGCCAUCGGCACACUGGCCAUUCUCUGCCACGUGGUAGGCCACGCCUGGCAAGCUGCUGUCUAUCUCGGAAGCUCACAUUUUCUCAUCUCUAAAGCAAAGGGGUGGGACUGGAACGUCUUGAAGAUAGUUUCUAGCUUGAAACUUCUAUCUCAACUCCAAACCUCUUACUAUGAAAAUUCUGGUGGCUAUAUUUUGCUCUGAGAGAAGCAUAGCAUUGACUGAUAAGCAAAAUGUGGGCCAGUGAAGCAUCCAAGCAUGCACAGAGCAGGGAGAGGAAAAUAGAUGAUAUGCUAAUUUUUUCUUUCCCUUUCCUUACCCUUUACACAGAAAUGGUACUAGUGGCGACAUUCUUAGGGAGCAGGAGCUGGCCAGUAGGCCUGGGAUUCUAGAUUAUCCCUGCAUUUGGGGAGUGGUUCCUCAUAAGCCAAUGGGUGAAAGGGCCUUUCCAGAAAGUCCUUAUUCUCCCCUAAAAUGACUACUACCAGAUCCUAUUCUACUUUGAUGGAAGGAAGGUUUAGCAUAGGAAUCAUGAGUUACCUAAGAAGGAGGAAGGAUGCCACUGAGUGGGAAAGGAGACUUGGUGGUGUCAUCACACUCCUGCCAAGGACUGGGCGUGUAUGCUUUCUCUUGUUUGGAAACAGACAGAAGCUGUAAGAGCAAAGAUUCAUUGGGUGAAGACACAGGGUAUUGCCAUACUGUAGGGACAUUGCCAUUGAGUUGCACGAUUCAUACCAAUACAUGAUUUGGCUUUUUUCUUUGCUAUUGUAUUAAUAUUAAUGGUAUCAUAAAGAGAGCUUUAUUCCAGGAGGACUUAUUAAUUCAGUGUGGCGGUAUGAAGAACUGAAAACCUCUUCUUCCCUUCUCUUUCUGCCAGAGGAUUGUUUCGGAAUAAAAAAAGAAUCUAAAAUGAGCCAAUGUCACGCCAUGCUGUGAGUUACUAAGUCAUUGACAAUAGCAGUGAGCACCACUCCAGUUAUAAAAGAUAUUAAAAAUAUUAACAUAUGGAAGAACUUACUUCGCUGAUUCUCUGUUCCUUGAUUUCCUCAUUUCUAAAAUGUGAUUACAUUUUGUAAAUUGUGAAACCUUUAAACAUAUGUAUUAAUGAUAAUUAACUUAUUUAACAUUAGUAAUCAUAACAUGGAAACUUAGUGGAAUGAGAACGUUAAGGCAGUUACUGGAAUAAUGAAUCCCCUCCUAUACUAUACAUACCUACUAUGUGCAGGAUAUGUGGAAAUAAACAAGCAUAUGUACAGUUUAUAUUGAAUUUAUAUUGAAACAGUCAUAAGAACAGGGGGCAUCAGUCCACAGGAAACUCAAAGCUCUCAGAUGAGGUUUGGCCACAUAAAUUGACUUUCUCUUGAGCCUUGCCAAGAGUUUGGGAAAUCAACUUAGGGGAAAACUAAGGGAGGGUUUCUCUGAUUUGUUGUCAUUAAAAUAAACUUUUAAUUGGUUGUAAGUGUUCAAUUGGAUAUAAUUGGCAUCAAGUAAAAUCCUAGAGAAUAGCAUUUCAUUAACUGUAAGUUGUAGUUUUGUAUCAUACAAUGAAAUUGCUCAAUUUGGAAAGGGGGUAAGAGUUGAAAUGUAUGAAUGGCAAAUUGUCUCUUCCUAUAUGAGUGGUGCUUGGUGACCGUUUGAGGAUGAACAGAGGAUGGAGGCCAAAGAUCCUUGCAGCAGUUUGUCCUUGCCUGGUCUGAAUCAAUGUUGAGCUGUGAAUCACGAGGAAAGUAAGACUGUCCCCAAAUGAGGUAACUGAGGGGGCUCCCGGAGAAGGGAACGUGAAAGGCAUUAUGAAUCAAGAUAUUCUUAAUCUUUUCAUAAAAUUCAUCAGAGCAAUUGGAUAGUCCAUUAGAAGUUGGCAUGUCACCAGCCACAUCGAGACAUUCAGAGAGGCUGCUGCCAUCAGUCACCAAGGACAUUCUGUCCUAGACUUUGUAAGCCAACACCACGGAGUAAUGGUAAUGUUCGAGGCUGAGUAUGCCGGCGGGAUGAUGACACAAGUUCUGCCCAGUGCUGGUCGUGAGAGUUUCUGUGCACCGUAUCCUAGGUGGUGCUAGACAGGAGAUACCUAGAGGUCAUUGUGUGCAAUCUCCUCAUUUCAUUCACGAGGAUACUGGCAAACCGACUCGCCCGAAGUCGCGCAGCAAAUCUCCUGUUUCUUAGUCUACUGAUCUUCUUACCAUAAGAAAUGGUUCACCUUGACUCUUGCAUGCAUUCCUUAAACACACCGCAUAAGUUAUUUGAACCAUAUGCCUAUAUGUAAGGAAAAUCAAUACGCAAGGAAACUCAUUGCAACCACUGUGGCUGUAUAAUAGCACUUUUCUGAGGUUGCCGUGCUGGUCAUAACCAAAGCAAUAGCAGCUUUAUAGAUGAGACCGGUGGUCAUGGCCAAUACUGUUCUACCACAUGCAUUCUUUUCUGUUUACAGCACACCACCUGGGAGGUUUCGAAUCAUAAUUCCAGCCAAAGAGACAUGCCGAGGUCUCUCGCCGGUCACUUCUAAUCUGGUCGUAUCAAAGGUCGCACAAUAUUGCCUAGGCGUUCGUUCAUUCGGUACCCUCCCAGUGGGAAAGAAGAAUAAGCACUGCCUGAGGACAUUUUGUUUCUUGAACGCGUUCCUCCUAUGCCAACAGCCGUGGUGGUCCGGUGGGCUCCUGCGCUAAAGGUAAAGAAGACCCACAGUGAUGUCUUCUUGGCAGAGAAGCUGCUACUACCUUUCUUAUGUGCACUUUCCACUCCCACAUGGUCUCCCUCUUGGGCCUCCUGUGAUUGCCCCCCUCCCCGUCCCUCUCCCACCCACUAGCCCUGAAAGGUGUCUGUUGUAUUACGCAAGUCCUCAGUGGCACAGCAAUCUGGAUCUAGUUCCCAGACAGCUGCUUUGAUUCAGGAAAUGCUUGUCAGAACACAGAUACAGCUUAAAGCUGUGUGGGAUGAAUGGAUUACAGGAACAAGCCUUGUGUUCAUUUGCCAAGUUCACGUCCAUAGGCAUGGAAUAUUUUCAAGCAUGUGUUGACUCUUGGCGAUGUAUGUUAGUUACAUGUUGUAACUCACGAAGGCUUCCUCCCUUCCUUGUAACACCUCAUUUGUCGAACUUUGGUAAGAGAUGAGCUAUUUCACAUGUGUGAGUUAUUCAGGUAGGUGGAUGCUACCUUUUAAGUACCAAAGCUUGCUUUAUUUUGGCCUGUUUCGUGAGUAGAUUGGUUAAAUGAAUUGAGU
RNAcentral lists this long non-coding RNA (3683 nucleotides) under Sus scrofa (pig). RNAcentral describes it as "lncRNA (ENSSSCG00000054496.1)". The record is from RNAcentral. Lineage: Eukaryota; Metazoa; Chordata; Mammalia; Artiodactyla; Suidae.